Non-coding RNA from Seriola dumerili (greater amberjack), 1590 nucleotides. Lineage: Eukaryota; Metazoa; Chordata; Actinopteri; Carangiformes; Carangidae. The record is from the annotation of a RefSeq genome assembly.
AUGGUCACAGUUACAUCACUGGUUAAUGAUUUGCCAGACUGUGACUACGCUUUUGACUACUGGGGAAAAGGCACUAUGGUCACUGUCACCUCAGCCACGUCAAAGGGGCCAAUUGUGUUUCCUCUGAUGCCAUGUGGCUCUGGGACAGGAGACAUGGUCAGUCUUGGCUGUUUUGCCACCGGCUUCACACCCUCCUCACUGACGUUCACAUGGAACAAAAAUGGGACUGCCUUGACGGACUUCACUCAGUACCCUCCAGUACAGAAAGAUAAUUAUUAUAUGGGAGUCAGUCAAAUCCGAGUGAGUAGACAGGAUUGGGACAAAAGGGAGAUUUUCCAGUGUGCUGUGGCACAUGUUGCCGGAAAAGCACAGACUUCUCACAUCAUAAAGCCACUGGAUUUCUAUCAGCCGCCGAUUCUUAAAGUGUUGGCCUCCUCUAAUGAUGAAAAGGAGGCAUCCUUCUCCUGCUAUGCUAAAGAUUUUUCACCAAAAGAUUAUGACAUCAAAUGGCUGAAAAGUGGAGAGGAAAUCAACAACAAAAUAUACGAGAUCAAAACGCAAACUGCAACAAAGUUGGAGAAUGGAACUAAGCUGUACAGUGCAGCAAGUUUUCUCACAGUGCCAUCCCAUGAUUUGCCUUCUCACACCCAGUUUACAUGUGAGUUCAAGGGGAAAAAGGACAAGAUUGAUGUAUUCACUAAUUCAUCUGUGCUCUACAACAAUAAUGAAUCUCAAGGAUGUAAUGCACCAGAUGUGGAGAUAGAGAUCGAAGGCCCCAAAGUAGAGGAUUUGUUUUUACAUGGAAAUGGAACUAUAACAUGUCAAGUCAAGGAAAACAAGUUAGGUGUUGACAAGAUUUUUUGGGAGGACCAGUACGGAAACGAAAUGACUGGAGCCUUGCAGGGCCCCUUCAAUGGAAAACCAUUGAGCCUUCCACUUGACAUCUCAUAUGACGAAUGGAACAAUGGGGUAAAGCGCAACUGUGUUGUUGAACAUAAAAAUUUCUAUGAUCCCUUCAAGAAACUCUAUGAAAGGAAUACCGGAGGAGAGACUCAGCGUCCUUCAGUAUUUAUGCUGCCACCAGUAGAACACACUAGAACAGAAACAGUGACCCUGACUUGCUAUGUGAAAGACUUCUUCCCUCAUGAGGUUUUCGUGUCUUGGCUUGUUGAUGACGAGGCAGCCUCAGACUCAAAAUACAAGUUCAGUACCACAAACCCUGUAAAAAACAAUGGAUCCUAUUCUGCUUAUGGCCAGUUAUCACUCGGCCUUGAUGAGUGGAAAAACAAUAACAUGGUGUAUAGCUGUGUAGUUUACCACCAAUCUGUGGUUAACAAUAUUAAAGCCAUUGUCAGAUCCAUUGGGCAAAGAACAUCUGAAAACACCAACCUGGUCAACCUCAACAUGAACAUCCCUGAAACGUGCAAGGCCCAUUAUCCAGAGAUCCUGAUCGACUCAAACAGUGCCAUGGAGGUAGAAGAAGAUAACAUGGGAGGCACAGCCCUCACCUUCAUCCUUCUCUUCCUCAUCACUCUGCUGUUCACCAUUGGAACCACUGUUUUCAAGGUUAAAUGAAAGAAGAAAAAAAUU